RNAcentral lists this ribosomal RNA (287 nucleotides) under uncultured bacterium. Its description in RNAcentral is "partial 16S ribosomal RNA". It matches the Rfam family "Bacterial small subunit ribosomal RNA", at positions 775 to 1067 of the family's 1533-position model. The record is from RNAcentral.
GGAUUAGAUACCCUGGUAGUCCACGCUGUAAACGAUGAUUACUCGUUUUCGGCGAUAUACAGUCGGAGACUAAGCGAAAGUGAUAAGUAAUCCACCUGGGGAGUACGAUCGCAAGGUUGAAACUCAAAGGAAUUGACGGGGGCCCGCACAAGCGGUGGAGCAUGUGGUUUAAUUCGAUGAUACGCGAGGAACCUUACCAGGGCUUAAAUGCAAGUUGAAUGAUGUGGAAACAUGUCAGUCUUCGGACAAUUUGCAAGGUGCUGCAUGGCUGUCGUCAGCUCGUGCCG